This 646-nucleotide ribosomal RNA is filed under the name Salmonella enterica. Its description in RNAcentral is "partial 23S ribosomal RNA". It matches the Rfam family "Bacterial large subunit ribosomal RNA", at positions 566 to 1190 of the family's 2925-position model. Lineage: Bacteria; Pseudomonadati; Pseudomonadota; Gammaproteobacteria; Enterobacterales; Enterobacteriaceae. RNAcentral also lists the same sequence under 1 other name. The record is from RNAcentral.
GCGAAAGCGACGUUCAACCGCAAAACAAGCAGAGGGGGCUUAGUGGUGGGGUGACUGCGUACCUUUUGUAUAAUGGGUCAGCGACUUAUAUUCUGUAGCAAGGUUAACCGAAUAGGGGAGCCGGAGGGAAACCGAGUCUUAAUUGGGCGUUAAGUUGCAGGGUAUAGACCCGAAACCCGGUGAUCUAGCCAUGGGCAGGUUGAAGGUUGGGUAACACUAACUGGAGGACCGAACCGACUAAUGUUGAAAAAUUAGCGGAUGACCUGUGGCUGGGGGUGAAAGGCCAAUCAAACCGGGAGAUAGCUGGUUCUCCCCGAAAGCUAUUUAGGUAGCGCCUCGUGAAUUCAUCUCCGGGGGUAGAGCACUGUUUCGGCUAGGGGGCCAUCCCGGCUUACCAACCCGAUGCAAACUGCGAAUACCGGAGAAUGUUAUCACGGGAGACACACGGCGGGUGCUAACGUCCGUCGUGAAGAGGGAAACAACCCAGACCGCCAGCUAAGGUCCCAAAGUCAUGGUUAAGUGGGAAACGAUGUGGGAAGGCCCAGACAGCCAGGAUGUUGGCUUAGAAGCAGCCAUCAUUUAAAGAAAGCGUAAUAGCUCACUGGUCGAGUCGGCCUGCGCGGAAGAUGUAACGGGGCUAAACCAU